UUCAGCUUGUCCAGUUCGCCUUGAUCCAGA
This 30-nucleotide non-coding RNA is filed under the name Mus musculus (house mouse). The record is from RNAcentral. Lineage: Eukaryota; Metazoa; Chordata; Mammalia; Rodentia; Muridae.